UACGUAGGGACCAAGCGUUGUCCGGAAUCAUUGGGCGUAAAGCGCGCGUAGGUGGCUUCGUAAGUCCGUUGUGAAAGUCAAAGGCUCAACCUUUGAAAGCCGAUGGAUACUGCGGAGCUAGAGUACGGAAGAGGCGAGUGGAAUUCCCGGUGUAGCGGUGAAAUGCGCAGAUAUCGGGAGGAACACCGGUGGCGAAGGCGGUUCUCUGGGCCUGUACUGACGCUGAGGAGCGAAAGCGUGGGGAGCGAACAGG
RNAcentral lists this ribosomal RNA (253 nucleotides) under uncultured bacterium. RNAcentral's name for it is "partial 16S ribosomal RNA". It matches the Rfam family "Bacterial small subunit ribosomal RNA", at positions 524 to 776 of the family's 1533-position model. The record is from RNAcentral.